UGACUGUGUGAGCAACACCCCCCACACCUCAGUAGCAAAAACAGAGAACAGUGGCAGCACAUCGUGGGCUGACUGCAGUUGAUUCUGGCUUUCUUACAUGAGAAUGCCAAGUCAUACAAGAAAGUGCCUGCCACGCUGAGCUUCUCUUUACCUUCUUGGGUUUUAAUGGAAUUGCAAGUUAUCAGUAUAAAAACUCAUAUUAGUUAUACUAAAUAGUGGGACCAAGUUAAGAUAUUAGGUUGUUAUGUAGUGUGCAUUUUAAAGUAAAACAAAUGAUAGAGCUUUUAGAAGCAUGUAUUAGGAAAAUGUUCCUUGAAGUCUGUGCCUUAUGAAUCUAAUAAGCUUUUGCUUUUAUAUCAGGUUAUCUGUGCUACAAUUGCAUUUGGAAUGGGGAUUGACAAACCGGACGUGCGAUUUGUGAUUCAUGCAUCUCUCCCUAAAUCUAUGGAGGGUUACUACCAAGAAUCUGGCAGAGCUGGAAGAGAUGGGGAAAUGUCUCACUGCCUGCUUUUCUAUACCUAUCAUGAUGUGACCAGACUGAAAAGACUUAUAAUGAUGGAAAAAGAUGGAAACCAUCAUACAAGAGAAACUCACUUCAAUAAUUUGUAUAGCAUGGUACAUUACUGUGAAAAUAUAACAGAAUGCAGGAGAAUACAGCUUUUGGCCUACUUUGGUGAAAAUGGAUUUAAUCCUGAUUUUUGUAAGAAACACCCAGAUGUUUCUUGUGAUAAUUGCUGUAAAACAAAG
RNAcentral lists this small RNA (747 nucleotides) under Pongo abelii (Sumatran orangutan). RNAcentral's name for it is "retained intron". Lineage: Eukaryota; Metazoa; Chordata; Mammalia; Primates; Hominidae. The record is from RNAcentral.